GAUGAACGCUGGCGGCGUGCCUAAUACAUGCAAGUCGAGCGAACAGACGAGGAGCUUGCUCCUCUGACGUUAGCGGCGGACGGGUGAGUAACACGUGGAUAACCUACCUAUAAGACUGGGAUAACUUCGGGAAACCGGAGCUAAUACCGGAUAAUAUAUUGAACCGCAUGGUUCAAUAGUGAAAGACGGUCUUGCUGUCACUUAUAGAUGGAUCCGCGCCGCAUUAGCUAGUUGGUAAGGUAACGGCUUACCAAGGCAACGAUGCGUAGCCGACCUGAGAGGGUGAUCGGCCACACUGGAACUGAGACACGGUCCAGACUCCUACGGGAGGCAGCAGUAGGGAAUCUUCCGCAAUGGGCGAAAGCCUGACGGAGCAACGCCGCGUGAGUGAUGAAGGUCUUCGGAUCGUAAAACUCUGUUAUUAGGGAAGAACAAAUGUGUAAGUAACUGUGCACAUCUUGACGGUACCUAAUCAGAAAGCCACGGCUAACUACGUG
This 497-nucleotide ribosomal RNA is filed under the name uncultured bacterium. Its description in RNAcentral is "partial 16S ribosomal RNA". It matches the Rfam family "Bacterial small subunit ribosomal RNA", at positions 28 to 507 of the family's 1533-position model. The record is from RNAcentral.